CUUACACAUGCAUGUCAGAGAACAUUCCCUUCGGGGAACUAUUAAACUGGCGAACGGGUAGUACACGUAGGCAACCUGCCUUGGAGAUUGGGAUAACCCCGGGAAACCGGGACUAAUACCGGGUAAUGCAGCGGCUUCUUCGGAAGAUGUUGUUAAAGCGGGCUUCGGCUCGUGCUUUAGGAUGGGCCUGCGUCCGAUUAGCUUGUUGGUAAGGUAAAGGCUUACCAAGGCAAUGAUCGGUAGCUGGUCUGAGAGGAUGAUCAGCCACACUGGGAUUGAGAUACGGCCCAGACCACCACGGUGGGCAGCAGUAAGGAAUUUUGCGCAAUGGGGGAAACCCUGACGCAGCAACGCCGCGUGACCGAUGAAGCUUCUAGGAGCGUAAAGGUCUGUCGUAAGGGAAGAAAAGUUUAGAUGUCAAUAAUGUUUGAACCUGACGGUACCUUACAAGAAAGCACCGGCUAACUUCGUGCCAGCAGACGCGGUAAUACGAGGGGUGCAAGCGUUGUCCGGAAUCACUGGGCGUAAAGGGUCCGUAGGCGUCUCACAACGUCAUUUGUUAAAUACACCGGCUUAACCGGUGACCUGCAUUUGAAACUAUUGAGAUCGAGUAUAAGAGAGGAAAGCGGACAUCCUGGUGUAGCGGUGACCUGCGUAGAUAUCAGGAGGAACAACCAAUGACGAAGCAGUCUCGGCCUAUUAUGCGCUGACGGCAGAAGCGU
This 722-nucleotide ribosomal RNA is filed under the name uncultured delta proteobacterium. RNAcentral's name for it is "bacterial SSU rRNA". It matches the Rfam family "Bacterial small subunit ribosomal RNA", at positions 48 to 762 of the family's 1533-position model. Lineage: Bacteria; Deltaproteobacteria. The record is from RNAcentral.